UACGGAGGGUGCAAGCGUUAUCCGGAUUCACUGGGUUUAAAGGGAGCGUAGGUGGGCUGGUAAGUCAGUGGUGAAAUCCCCGAGCUUAACUUGGGAACUGCCAUUGAUACUAUCAGGCUUGAAUACUGUGGAGGUUAGCGGAAUAUGUCAUGUAGCGGUGAAAUGCUUAGAUAUGACAUAGAACACCAAUUGCGAAGGCAGCUGGCUACACAAUUAUUGACACUGAGGCUCGAAAGCGUGGGGAUCAAACAGG
Molecule: ribosomal RNA, 253 nt
Filed under: uncultured bacterium
Lineage: Bacteria
Description: partial 16S ribosomal RNA
Rfam family: Bacterial small subunit ribosomal RNA
Source: RNAcentral